AGGAGGAGCAAAUCUGAAAAAAGACGUCCCUAGUUCGGAUUGUAGGCUGAAACUCGCCUACAUGAAGCUGGAAUUGCUAGUAAUCACAGGUCAGCAUACUGUGGUGAAUACGUUCCCGGGUCUUGUACACACCGCCCGUCACACCAUGGGAGCCGGUAAUACCCGAAGUCAGUAGUCCAACCUCGUGAGGACGCUGCCGAAGGUAGGAUUGGCGACUGGGGUGAAGUCGUAACAAGGUAUC
This 241-nucleotide ribosomal RNA is filed under the name uncultured bacterium. RNAcentral describes it as "partial 16S ribosomal RNA". It matches the Rfam family "Bacterial small subunit ribosomal RNA", at positions 1260 to 1500 of the family's 1533-position model. The record is from RNAcentral.